AUGAGCCUGGACCGGCAUUUCAGGAGAGCCAGAGUGGAGAGCAGGGUAAACCUGAAAUCCCGUUGUCUGACUCGACAGAACUUUGGCUAAUACAGUGGCCUCUAAACCAUGUAAAAUGCUUCUGAUUUUCACGGUGAAGAGGUUUCUCUUACGCUUCAUCACAAUGGAAACUUGGGAAAUUUGGAAAGUCCUUCGGGGACAUCGUAUGAACCCGUCAGCUUUGCUGCUCAACAGCCGGAUGCUACUGUCU
Molecule: long non-coding RNA, 250 nt
Organism: Triticum dicoccoides
Lineage: Eukaryota; Viridiplantae; Streptophyta; Magnoliopsida; Poales; Poaceae
Exons: 3
Source: RefSeq, a predicted model, not a curated record